This 2439-nucleotide small RNA is filed under the name Candidatus Arsenophonus triatominarum. Its description in RNAcentral is "bacterial SSU rRNA". The stretch from base 1 to 1511 matches the Rfam family "Bacterial small subunit ribosomal RNA". The record is from RNAcentral. Lineage: Bacteria; Pseudomonadati; Pseudomonadota; Gammaproteobacteria; Enterobacterales; Morganellaceae.
CGAUUGCGGCAAGCCUAACACAUGCAAGUUGAGCGGCAGCGGAAGGAAGCUUGCUUCCUUGUCGGCGAGCGGCGGACGGGUGAGUAAGGUAUGGGGAUCUGGCCGAAGGCGGGGGAUAACCAUUGGAAACGGUGGCUAAUAUCGCAUAAUCUCUAAGGAGCAAAGUGGGGGACCAUUAUGGCCUCACACCUUCGGAUGAACCCAUAUGAGAUUAGCUAGUAGGUGGGGUAAAGGCUCACCUAGGCGACGAUCUCUAGCUGGUCUGAGAGGAUGAUCAGCCACACUGGGACUGAGACACGGCCCAGACUCCUACGGGAGGCAGCAGUGGGGAAUAUUGCACAAUGGGCGCAAGCCUGAUGCAGCCAUGCCGCGUGUAUGAAGAAGGCCUUCGGGUUGUAAAGUACUUUCAGUCGUGAGGAAGGUGUUAAGGUUAAUAGCCUUAGCAAUUGACAUUAGCGACAGAAGAAGCACCGGCUAACUCCGUGCCAGCAGCCGCGGUAAUACGGAGGGUGCGAGCGUUAAUCGAAAUUACUGGGCGUAAAGGGGCACGCAGGCGGUUAAUUAAGUUGGAUGUGAAAUCCCCUGGCUUAACCUGGGAAUGGCAUUCAAGACUGGUUAGCUAGAGUCUUGUAGAGGGGGGUAGAAUUCCAUGUGUAGCGGUGAAAUGCGUAGAGAUGUGGAGGAAUACCGGUGGCGAAGGCGGCCCCCUGGACAAAGACUGACGCUCAUGUGCGAAAGCGUGGGGAGCAAACAGGAUUAGAUACCCUGGUAGUCCACGCUGUAAACGAUGUCGAUUUGGAGGUUGUGGUCUAGAACUGUGUCCUCCGGAGCUAACGCGUUAAAUCGACCGCCUGGGGAGUACGGCCGCAAGGUUAAAACUCAAAUGAAUUGACGGGGGCCCGCACAAGCGGUGGAGCAUGUGGUUUAAUUCGAUGCAACGCGAAGAACCUUACCUACUCUUGACAUCCAGCGAAGCCUUUAGAGAUAAAGGCGUGCCUUCGGGAGCGCUGAGACAGGUGCUGCAUGGCUGUCGUCAGCUCGUGUUGUGAAAUGUUGGGUUAAGUCCCGCAACGAGCGCAACCCUUAUCCUUUGUUGCCAGCGAUUCGGUCGGGAACUCAAAGGAGACUGCCGGUGAUAAACCGGAGGAAGGUGGGGAUGACGUCAAGUCAUCAUGGCCCUUACGAGUAGGGCUACACACGUGCUACAAUGGCGUAUACAGAUAGAGGCGAGCCUGCGAGGGGAAGCGGAACUCAGAAAGUACGUCAAAGUCCGGAUUGGAGUCUGCAACUCGACUCCAUGAAGUCGGAAUCGCUAGUAAUCGCGGAUCAGCAUGUCGCGGUGAAUACGUUCCCGGGCCUUGUACACACCGCCCGUCACACCAUGGGAGUGGGUUGCAAAAGAAGUAGGUAGCUUAACCUUUUGGAUGGCGCUUACCACUUUGUGAUUCAUGACUGGGGUGAAGUCGUAACAAGGUAACCGUAGGGGAAUCUGCGGUUGGAUCACCUCCUUACCUAGAUAGAUGGAAUGUGAGUGUUCACACAGAUUGUCUGAUGAAAUAGCGCGUAAAGCCAAUCUAAGGUUGACUGAAGAGCUUGAAGUCCCCUUCGUCUAGAGGCCUAGGACAUCGCCCUUUCACGGCGGUAACAGGGGUUCGAAUCCCCUAGGGGACGCCACUUUAGUGAUUUAGAAAGGCUGUGCAUCACUAUUUUAGUGUUGUGCACCGUUCAUGCUUUACGCAAUAAUGAUUAAGCCAAUUCAAUGAGUUGGUUUAACAAUUAUGCUCUUUAACAAUCUGGAACAAGCUGAAAAUUGAAACACACAUUAUUGAAAAAUAGUGUGGAGAACUCUCAAAACUCCAAUCAGUUGGGUUUUUGUUGUCAUGAUGAAAGCGUUAUGAGCGAGCAGUCAGCCAUUCGAGACGGCCAGCGCACAGCGAGCACUGCCCAAUAAAGAAUGGGUGGAGAGGUGCCCAUAACCUAGCAAAAAGGCAGCGUAAGACACCUUCGGGUUGUGAGGUUAAGCGAAUUAAGCGUACACGGUGGAUGCCUAGGCAGUCAGAGGCGAUGAAGGACGUGCUAAUCUGCGAAAAGCGUCGGUAAGCUGAUAUGAAGCGUACUAGCCGGCGAUGUCCGAAUGGGGAAACCCAGUGCAUUGAUGCACUAUCGUUUGAUGAAUCCAUAGUCAAAUGAGGCGAACCGGGGGAACUGAAACAUCUCAGUACCCCGAGGAAAAGAAAUCAACCGAGAUUCCCCCAGUAGCGGCGAGCGAACGGGGAGCAGCCCAGAGUCACCAUCAAAAUUUACCGCAGGAGAAGGGUUCUGGAAAGGCCCGCAAUAAAGGGUGAUAGCCCCGUAUCUGAAGCGGUAAGUGUUGUGAGCUCGAAGAGUAGGGCGGGACACGUGUUAUCCUGUCUGAAUAUGGGGGGACCAUCCUCCAAA